CAGCAGCCGCGGUAAUACGAAGGGUGCAAGCGUUAAUCGGAAUUACUGGGCGUAAAGCGUGCGUAGGCGGUGAGUUAAGUCUGCUGUGAAAUCCCCGGGCUCAACCUGGGAAUGGCAGUGGAUACUGGCUCGCUAGAGUGUGUCAGAGGAUGGUGGAAUUCCCGGUGUAGCGGUGAAAUGCGUAGAGAUCGGGAGGAACAUCAGUGGCGAAGGCGGCCAUCUGGGACAACACUGACGCUGAGGCACGAAAGCGUGGGGAGCAAACAGGAUUAGAUACCCCAGUAGUCCCUGUCUCUUAUAU
Molecule: ribosomal RNA, 301 nt
Filed under: uncultured bacterium
Lineage: Bacteria
Description: partial 16S ribosomal RNA
Rfam family: Bacterial small subunit ribosomal RNA
Source: RNAcentral